Molecule: ribosomal RNA, 437 nt
Filed under: uncultured bacterium
Lineage: Bacteria
Description: partial 16S ribosomal RNA
Rfam family: Bacterial small subunit ribosomal RNA
Source: RNAcentral
GUAGGGAAUCUUCGGCAAUGGACGAAAGUCUGACCGAGCAACGCCGCGUGAGUGAAGAAGGUUUUCGGAUCGUAAAACUCUGUUGGUAGAGAAGAACGUUGGUGAGAGUGGAAAGCUCAUCAAGUGACGGUAACUACCCAGAAAGGGACGGCUAACUACGUGCCAGCAGCCGCGGUAAUACGUAGGUCCCGAGCGUUGUCCGGAUUUAUUGGGCGUAAAGCGAGCGCAGGUGGUUUAUUAAGUCUGGUGUAAAAGGCAGUGGCUCAACCAUUGUAUGCAUUGGAAACUGGUAGACUUGAGUGCAGGAGAGGAGAGUGGAAUUCCAUGUGUAGCGGUGAAAUGCGUAGAUAUAUGGAGGAACACCGGUGGCGAAAGCGGCUCUCUGGCCUGUAACUGACACUGAGGCUCGAAAGCGUGGGGAGCAAAACAGGAUUAGA